Molecule: ribosomal RNA, 447 nt
Filed under: uncultured bacterium
Lineage: Bacteria
Description: bacterial SSU rRNA
Rfam family: Bacterial small subunit ribosomal RNA
Source: RNAcentral
GCCAGACUCCUACGGGAGGCAGCAGUGGGGGAUAUUGCACAAUGGGGGGAACCCUGGUGCAGCGACGCCGCGUGGGUGAAGAAGUAUUUCGGUAUGUAAAGCCCUAUCGGCAGGGAAGAAAUUGGACGGUACCUGACUAAGAAGCCCUGGCUAACUACGUGCCAGCAGCCGCGGUAAUACGUAGGGGGCAAGCGUUAUCCGGAUUCACUGGGUGUAAAGGGAGCGUAGACGGCCAUGCAAGCCUGGAGUGAAAGCCCGGGGCCCAACCCCGGGACUGCUCUGGGAACUGUGCGGCUGGAGUGCGGGAGGGGCAGGCGGAAUUCCUGGUGUAGCGGUGAAAUGCGUAGAUAUCAGGAGGAACACCGGCGGCGAAGGCGGCCUGCUGGACCGCGACUGACGUUGAGGCUCGAAAGCGUGGGGAGCAAACAGGAUUAGAUACCCCUGUAA